RNAcentral lists this ribosomal RNA (555 nucleotides) under uncultured bacterium. Its description in RNAcentral is "partial 16S ribosomal RNA". It matches the Rfam family "Bacterial small subunit ribosomal RNA", at positions 355 to 899 of the family's 1533-position model. The record is from RNAcentral.
UAGGGAAUCUUCCACAAUGGACGCAAGUCUGAUGGAGCAACGCCGCGUGAGUGAAGAAGGUCUUCGGAUCGUAAAGCUCUGUUGUUGGUGAAGAAGGAUAGAGGCAGUAACUGGUCUUUAUUUGACGGUAAUCAACCAGAAAGUCACGGCUAACUACGUGCCAGCAGCCGCGGUAAUACGUAGGUGGCAAGCGUUGUCCGGAUUUAUUGGGCGUAAAGCGAGCGCAGGCGGAAUGAUAAGUCUGAUGUGAAAGCCCACGGCUCAACCGUGGAACUGCAUCGGAAACUGUCAUUCUUGAGUGCAGAAGAGGAGAGUGGAACUCCAUGUGUAGCGGUGGAAUGCGUAGAUAUAUGGAAGAACACCAGUGGCGAAGGCGGCUCUCUGGUCUGCAACCGUGCGCUGAGGCUCGAAAGCAUGGGUAGCGAACAGGAUUAGAUACCCUGGUAGUCCAUGCCGUAAACGAUGAGCGCUAGGUGUUGGGGACUUUCCGGUUGCUCAGUGCCGCAGCAAACGCAUUAAGCGCUCCGCCUGGGGAGUACGACCGCAAGGUUGAAC